This 920-nucleotide long non-coding RNA is filed under the name Mus caroli (Ryukyu mouse). Its description in RNAcentral is "pancreas specific transcription factor 1a, opposite strand (MGP_CAROLIEiJ_G0003129.1)". The record is from RNAcentral. Lineage: Eukaryota; Metazoa; Chordata; Mammalia; Rodentia; Muridae.
AUUCCCUCAGCUGAGAAGCUGAGAUACAGAAGCACUUACGGGUGCCUCGAUGGCAGAUGAUAACCUUCUGGGCCUGGCUACCCGGGCUGUCCUCUCCGAGGUGCCGGCUGCCACCUGGACCCCCGCAACCACCUGUGCCACUCCCGCGCAGCGGCAGGUCGGCUUGCACCAGCUCGCUGAGGAAGUUUAUGUAGCCUAUGGCCAAGCGCAGCGUGUCUACUUUGGAGAGGCGCUUUUCGUAGGGCAGCGUGGGGAUGUGCGAACGCAGCCCCUCGAAGGCAUCGUUGAUGGACUGCAUGCGGCGCCGCUCUCGCACGUUAGCGGCUUGUCGCAGCUGCUGCAGCUCGGCCUCGGAGCGCACGCGUCGCCGCCGCCUUGCUGCCGCCGCUGCUGCAGCCCCGUUCAAACCACCAAGCCGCGCACCGGGGGACAGCACCGCGGCGCAAGGCUCGUCGCUGUCCUCCAGCGGGUCCCGAGAGGACUGGUCGGUGAAGAAAUCUUCCUCAUCAAAGUAAGCGGAUGGGAAGGUGUCCAGGCCCCCGGGGAAGUGCUCCAGGAGAACGGCGUCCAUGCCCUCGGCCGCCGAGGCCCCGAAGGACGAAUGGGCUGCUCGGGUUGACGCUUUGUGAGUGAUCCGUGGCAGUUCGGGUAUCAUCUCCUGAGCAACUUAUGCCUUCAGAAGCCAUGAUGAUGUGCCUUGAUCUCUGAGAACUCCUGACUCACUCUUCUCUCCAAUAGCUAUGGCCACAUGAGAGUGUGUCUUCUAUCCGCGGCCGUGAGUGAGCCCAGUGAGAGGAAUCAGAAUUCAACAACAAGCCUGGUUUAACUCCACAUCACAGGAGUGUUCCAUAUAUUGCUCUGCCUUUUCUUCAUUUCUGUCAUUUUGCACUAAUUUUCACACAGAUGAGCUCAUUUGCUCC